UACGGCCGCAUCACGUCGAAACACCCGUUCCGCUACGAUCAUCAAAGUUAAGCAACUUUGACCUGGUCAGUACUUAGAUGUGUGACCGCUUAGGAAUAUCAGGUAGGUGUA
This is a non-coding RNA of Acanthosepion pharaonis, 111 nucleotides long. The record is from the annotation of a GenBank genome assembly. Lineage: Eukaryota; Metazoa; Mollusca; Cephalopoda; Sepiida; Sepiidae.